RNAcentral lists this ribosomal RNA (391 nucleotides) under uncultured Chrysophyceae. RNAcentral's name for it is "partial small subunit ribosomal RNA". It matches the Rfam family "Eukaryotic small subunit ribosomal RNA", at positions 30 to 432 of the family's 1831-position model. Lineage: Eukaryota; Chrysophyceae. The record is from RNAcentral.
GCUUGUCUCAAAGAUUAAGCCAUGCAUGUCUAAGUAUAAACGACUUUAUACUGUGAAACUGCGAAUGGCUCAUUAUAUCAGUUAUAGUUUAUUUGAUGGUCCUUGCUACUUGGAUAACCGUAGUAAUUCUAGAGCUAAUACAUGCAUCAAACCCCGACUUCUGGAAGGGGUGUAUUUAUUAGAUGGAAACCAAUGCAGGGCAACCUGGAAUAUGGUGAUUCAUAAUAACUCGCGGAUCGGUUUACCGAUGCAUCAUUCAAGUUUCUGCCCUAUCAUGGUUGAGAUUGUAAGAUAGAGGCUUACAAUGCCUACAACGGGUAACGGGGAAUUAGGGUUCGAUUCCGGAGAGGGAGCCUGAGAAACGGCUACCACAUCCAAGGAAGGCAGCAGG